CUCGCUGGCCAGUGCAAAUCAUUUACAACAGAGCCUCGGGGUCACUGUAUCCGUGCGGACAACUGUUAACCCCCAUCCACUCUCCUUUCCUUUCAUUACUUGUCUCUUCAAGGAGACAGUCGAGAGAAGGAGACGUCUUCGUAUAAAAAAAAAAAAAAAAAAAAGGGAAUGGAAGCCUGUGUUUUUCUCUUGGGGGACAUCAUAAUGAUUUGAUUUACUGGCGGUCAUUUGAUCAACAGCGUACGCUCCACUCCCUAAACACACACACUCCUCCUCGAGAAACUAUCAGCGGCAGACGCACGCGAGAAGGUGCAGGCUGCCGGACAUCUCGGGGCUGGAAUCACAUUUAUUCUCAUUAGACUGCGAUAGUGUCAGCUGGAGGCAGGGGAGGCACGAGCCAGGGUCAUAAAAACUACCUCACUACCUCUUCCCGCCAUUACCUCAUACAGAUCACAUCACACCCAGUCAGCCAAUCUCCAGUCAACGCCGAAGCUGCACAUUGGUGUAUGUUUUCAAUGUGCAUCUUUUUUUUUUUUUUUUUUUUUUUUUUUGCCGGUCACUUUUACCGGCUACUUGUCAAACUACCAAACAGGGAAGGAAAUGGCCUGUCGUCAGCCUUCAAACAUAAAGCAAUUUCUAACAGGUUUUGAGGUUGGCGACAGCGGAGGUCAAUAGAGAUGGCUCCACGAGAUGAACUGGCUCGCUCCCCCGAGACAUGCGUUCUCGGUGAGGCCCAGUGAUAGAUGAAGUGUGUGAGGGAUCGGUUCGGGCCCGUGUUCAAUCAAACUUCAUGGCUUACAUUACAGUGGAUGAGGCAUGGGCACUUCAUGGGACCUGUUUUAUGUUCUGUAGGUCCUGGAGCAUGGCAUUGUUUGCACUGAUUUGGUGAUAUUGCAUUACUUGCCCACCAAUGGAUUCUCUGCAGUGAAUGGGUGCCAUCAGAAUGAGAAUCCAAACAGCUGAUAAAAACAUUAAAUAAUCCACAUGACUCAUGUCCAUCAAUUAAUAUCUUAUGAAAUGAAAAGCUGUGUUUUUG
Molecule: long non-coding RNA, 1036 nt
Organism: Carassius auratus (goldfish)
Lineage: Eukaryota; Metazoa; Chordata; Actinopteri; Cypriniformes; Cyprinidae
Exons: 3
Source: RefSeq, a predicted model, not a curated record